This 26-nucleotide non-coding RNA is filed under the name Mus musculus (house mouse). The record is from RNAcentral. Lineage: Eukaryota; Metazoa; Chordata; Mammalia; Rodentia; Muridae.
UACAGUGAUUUGCGAAAAGGUCUACG